CUCAGAAAUCAAUCACCUCUUGCAUACCUUCCUACAAACUCUAAGCAACCAAGAGAAAUCGAGAUGGCAUUCUCAAAGACUUUUCUUCUUGUCGCCCUUGCCUUUGCUGUUCUCCUCAUCUCUGCUGAGGUCUCGGCUCACCGUGACCUAGCUGAGACUACCACUGCUACUCAGAAAGCCAACACUGAUGGCUACCACGGACACGACCAUGGAUGGCACGGUGGACACGGAGGACAUGGUGGACACGGAGGACAUGGUGGUCAUCACGGAGGGCAUGGACCUCAUGAUGUUGAGACUGAGAACUAGAUGAUGAAGAUGAUAACCCUUUGUACGUAUGCAUGCAGUGGUGUACAUUGCAGGCGUACGUAGCUGAUGCAAAGGGUUUUAAUAUGGAAGCAGUAAUAGCUUGCUUGGUUAUGAAUAAUAAGUGUGUAUUUGGUUGAGCAGUCCACAAAACUCUCAAUCGAUCAUAUCUUUGUAAUUCGAUCCUCGGAUCUCUAUGUCAUGAACUAUCUACGAUCCACACUUUAUAUUAGCUGAUCAAUUUAUGCUUGUCUAUA
Fragaria vesca subsp. vesca is the source of this 560-nucleotide RNA transcript. RefSeq lists it as uncharacterized. The record is from RefSeq and is a predicted model, not a curated record. The transcript is spliced from 2 exons. Lineage: Eukaryota; Viridiplantae; Streptophyta; Magnoliopsida; Rosales; Rosaceae.